GCAGUCGAGGGGUAACAGGUAGCUUGCUAUGCUGACGACCGGCGCACGGGUGCGUAACGCGUAUAGAACCUACCUUAUAGUAAGGGAUAGCCCAGAGAAAUUUGGAUUAAUACCUUAUAGUAUUAUUGAAUGGCAUCGUUUAAUAAUUAAAGAUUUAUUGCUAUAAGAUGGCUAUGCGUUCUAUUAGCUAGUUGGUAUGGUAACGGCAUACCAAGGCUACGAUAGAUAGGGGUCCUGAGAGGGAGAUCCCCCACACUGGUACUGAGACACGGACCAGACUCCUACGGGAGGCAGCAGUGAGGAAUAUUGGACAAUGGAGGCAACUCUGAUCCAGCCAUGCCGCGUGUAGGAAGACUGCCCUAUGGGUUGUAAACUACUUUUAUAGAGGAAGAAACGACACUACGUGUAGUGUUUUGACGGUACUCUACGAAUAAGGAUCGGCUAACUCCGUGCCAGCAGCCGCGGUAAUACGGAGGAUCCAAGCGUUAUCCGGAAUCAUUGGGUUUAAAGGGUCCGUAGGCGGGUUUGUAAGUCAGUGGUGAAAGUUUUCGGCUCAACCGGAAAAUUGCCAUUGAUACUGCAAGUCUUGAAUCAUUGUGAAGUGGUUAGAAUGUGUAGUGUAGCGGUGAAAUGCAUAGAUAUUACACAGAAUACCGAUUGCGAAGGCAGAUCACUAACAAUGUAUUGACGCUAAGGGACGAAAGCGUGGGUAGCGAACAGGAUUAGAUACCCUGGUAGUCCACGCCGUAAACGAUGGUUACUAGCUGUUUGGACUUCGGUCUAAGUGGCUAAGCGAAAGUGAUAAGUAACCCACCUGGGGAGUACGUUCGCAAGAAUGAAACUCAAAGGAAUUGACGGGGGCCCGCACAAGCGGUGGAGCAUGUGGUUUAAUUCGAUGAUACGCGAGGAACCUUACC
RNAcentral lists this ribosomal RNA (917 nucleotides) under bacterium W13M61a_B. RNAcentral's name for it is "bacterial SSU rRNA". It matches the Rfam family "Bacterial small subunit ribosomal RNA", at positions 57 to 975 of the family's 1533-position model. The record is from RNAcentral.